RNAcentral lists this unclassified non-coding RNA (277 nucleotides) under Hevea brasiliensis (rubber tree). The record is from RNAcentral. Lineage: Eukaryota; Viridiplantae; Streptophyta; Magnoliopsida; Malpighiales; Euphorbiaceae.
ACAUUGUCACCAUUAAUGAUCUGAUACAUAAACAAAGAUAUACCUUUACUACAGGUCAAGACAACGGUUCUACCAGAACAAGGACGCAUGCAAUACGUUCACAGCAACUAAAAACUAUGUAAGAGAUUAGUUUCACAGCAUUUGAAAUGACAAUCAAAUAGUCUCUGAGUUACAAAACAUAUGGAAAACUAUUGUAGAAAAAAGUAUUAAAAACAAAUCAUCCAUCUUUGUUAAACUUUCAGGAAGAAAUGGAUUGUGGUGAUCAUCUCUGGGAAAA